CCCUUAGACGUUCUGGGCCGCACGCGCGCUACACUGACGAAGGCAACGAGCUUUCCUUUACCGAAAGGUACGGGUAAUCUUUUGAAACUUCGUCGUGCUGGGGAUAGAUCCUUGCAAUUUUUGAUCUUAAACGAGGAAUGCCUAGUAAGCGCAAGUCAUCAACUUGCGUUGAUUACGUCCCUGCCCUUUGUACGCACCGCCCGUCGCUACUACCGAUUGAAUGGUUUAGUGAGGCCUUCGGAUCCGCGACUCGCUUGUGGAGAAGUUGGACAAACUCAGUCAUUUAGAGGAAGUAAAAGUCGUANCA
Molecule: ribosomal RNA, 307 nt
Filed under: uncultured eukaryote
Lineage: Eukaryota
Description: partial 18S ribosomal RNA
Rfam family: Eukaryotic small subunit ribosomal RNA
Source: RNAcentral